CUGGAAACGGUAGCUAAUACCGCAUAACGUCUUCGGACCAAAGUGGGGGAUCUUCGGACCUCACGCCACCGGAUGUGCCCAGAUGGGAUUAGCUAGUAGGUGGGGUAACGGCUCACCUAGGCGACGAUCCCUAGCUGGUCUGAGAGGAUGACCAGCCACACUGGAACUGAGACACGGUCCAGACUCCUACGGGAGGCAGCAGUGGGGAAUAUUGCACAAUGGGCGCAAGCCUGAUGCAGCCAUGCCGCGUGUAUGAAGAAGGCCUUCGGGUUGUAAAGUACUUUCAGCGGGGAGGAAGGCGGUGAGGUUAAUAACCUCGCCGAUUGACGUUACCCGCAGAAGAAGCACCGGCUAACUCCGUGCCAGCAGCCGCGGUAAUACGGAGGGUGCAAGCGUUAAUCGGAAUUACUGGGCGUAAAGCGCACGCAGGCGGUCUGUUAAGUCAGAUGUGAAAUCCCCGGGCUUAACCUGGGAACUGCAUUUGAAACUGGCAGGCUUGAGUCUCGUAGAGGGGGGUAGAAUUCCAGGUGUAGCGGUGAAAUGCGUAGAGAUCUGGAGGAAUACCGGUGG
This 570-nucleotide ribosomal RNA is filed under the name Pantoea dispersa. RNAcentral's name for it is "bacterial SSU rRNA". It matches the Rfam family "Bacterial small subunit ribosomal RNA", at positions 150 to 715 of the family's 1533-position model. The record is from RNAcentral. Lineage: Bacteria; Pseudomonadati; Pseudomonadota; Gammaproteobacteria; Enterobacterales; Erwiniaceae.